Molecule: ribosomal RNA, 497 nt
Filed under: uncultured bacterium
Lineage: Bacteria
Description: partial 16S ribosomal RNA
Rfam family: Bacterial small subunit ribosomal RNA
Source: RNAcentral
GAUGAACGCUGGCGGCGUGCCUAAUACAUGCAAGUCGAGCGAACAGAUGAGGAGCUUGCUCCUUUGACGUUAGCGGCGGACGGGUGAGUAACACGUGGAUAACCUACUUAUAAGACUGGGAUAACUUCGGGAAACAGGAGCUAAUACCGGAUAAUAUAUUGAACCGCAUGGUUCAAUAGUGCUAGACGGUUUUGCUGUCACUUAUAGAUGGUUCCGCGCCGCAUUAGCUAGUUGGUAAGGUAACGGCUUACCAAGGCGACGAUGCGUAGCCGACCUGAGAGGGUGAUCGGCCACACUGGAACUGAGACACGGUCCAGACUCCUACGGGAGGCAGCAGUAGGGAAUCUUCCGCAAUGGGCGAAAGCCUGACGGAGCAACGCCGCGUGAGUGAUGAAGGUCUUCGGAUCGUAAAACUCUGUUAUUAGGGAAGAACAAAUGUGUAAGUAACUAUGCACGUCUUGACGGUACCUAAUCAGAAAGCCACGGCUAACCACGUG